RNAcentral lists this ribosomal RNA (253 nucleotides) under uncultured bacterium. Its description in RNAcentral is "partial 16S ribosomal RNA". It matches the Rfam family "Bacterial small subunit ribosomal RNA", at positions 524 to 776 of the family's 1533-position model. The record is from RNAcentral.
UACGUAGGGGGCAAGCGUUGUUCGGAAUUACUGGGCGUAAAGGGCGCGUAGGCGGCCCGGCAAGUCAGGUGUGAAAGCCCUGGGCUCAACCCGGGAACUGCUUUUGAAACUGCCGAGCUAGAGUGCGGAAGGGGCAACUGGAAUUCCCAGUGUAGCGGUGAAAUGCGUAGAUAUUGGGAAGAACACCCGAGGCGAAGGCGGGUUGCUGGGCCGACACUGACGCUGAGGCGCGAAAGCCAGGGGAGCGAACGGG